RNAcentral lists this ribosomal RNA (636 nucleotides) under Triticum aestivum (bread wheat). RNAcentral's name for it is "partial small subunit ribosomal RNA". Lineage: Eukaryota; Viridiplantae; Streptophyta; Magnoliopsida; Poales; Poaceae. The record is from RNAcentral.
CGUGGCAGCAUCUUCACCUCUAAGUUUUGGGAUUCUUUUCAGAAGGCCAUGGGCACCAACAUUCGCUUCAGCACAACUUUUCAUCCUCAAACUAGUUGCAAAGUCAAGCGAGUCAAUCAGAUUCUUGAAGAUAUGCUCAGGGCUUGUGUCAUCUCUUUCCGUAUGAAGUGGGAAGAUUGUCUUCCAUAUGCCGAGUUCUCCUACAACAACAGCUUCCAAGCGAGUUCGGGCAAGGCCCCAUUCGAGAUUCUCUAUGGCAGGAAGUGUCGUACUCCUCUAAACUGGUCAGAGACUAGUGAACGUCAACUUCUUGGCAAUGACUUGAUCACAGAGGCUGAAGAAAUGUGCAAAGUCAUUUGUGAAAAUCUCAAAGCCGUGCAAUCGCGCCAGAAGAGUUAUUAUGAUAGCAAGCAUCGUGACUUGGCUUUCGAGAUCGGAGACCAUGUCUACCUCCGCGUCUCUCCAAUGAAAGGUACUCGUCGCUUCGGUAUCAAAGGGAAGCUUGCCCCGAGAUACGUGGGUCCUUUCAAGAUCAUCGGCAAAAGAGACGAUCUCGCCUAUCAACUUGUGCUUCCGUCCAAGUUUGCAAAUGUGCACGAUGUGUUCCAUGUGUCUCUGCUUCGCAAGUGUUUCAAG